Molecule: long non-coding RNA, 3221 nt
Organism: Numida meleagris (helmeted guineafowl)
Lineage: Eukaryota; Metazoa; Chordata; Aves; Galliformes; Numididae
Exons: 4
Source: RefSeq, a predicted model, not a curated record
UUUUCCUUAAAACUAAGGAUCUAGACCCCAGCAAGCUCUCCUCCCUGCCCUUCUUGUCAUCACACCACGAAGUACUGGAACAAUGUACCUCUUAACCUAACAGGCCUGUUAAUCAAGAGGUCUAUAUGGCUGCUUAUUACAAAACUCCCUUCCCAUUAUGUUGCACUUUCAAAGAAUCUCUUAACUAGCUGCAGUCAAGAGCACCCCCCCCUGCUGGCAUCAGAAUGAAUUUUUCCAAUUCAAUUUGCUGGCUGCUCAAAACUAAAAAUGCCAGCUGAUUGCUAGUUCAGACAGCUCUGUGUUCAGCCACUUGUGCGUACUUGAAAUUAUCUGAAUGCAGUUUGAAGACUACAGCAGAAAUUUUGUAAUUAGAAUUCUGCAAUGUAGAUGGUAAUUUUUCCCCCUUGGUAACACACAGAGAUCAGAUAAACAGGAAGCAAAUUGAAGAACUUUGCAACAUGAAUGGCGAUCUGCUUCAAGUAGAAAAAAGAGAAAGGGAGGAAGAUAUCUUUGUGAUCUGAAGUCUUGGUCUGAUGAGACUCUUACAUUCUACUUGCAGAAGAGCUGCCUCAACAAUACAGACAAUCAAAGCAGAAUGAACCUAGCCAGGUGUGAAGCCGAAGUAGUAGCAGAUACCUUGUGAACACAUUAGCAUGAUGUUGUUGGUUUUGCUAUCUGAAGCAUCCUGUUGUAGAAACUCAACAUAAUUCAAAGCUGCUGUACCAAUUCCUGAGUUUGCUUUUGAGACAGGAAACCCACACCUGUUAGCCUGCAUAGAUCAUCACUGGAGCCUACAGCAGCAAUUUUUACUCCAGGUUCUGUUAGACUGGCACCAGGAGUAAAAACACACAUCAGAUGUUACCAAGAGCCAGUACGCAAAGAUGGUGCAGAGGAAAAACAGAAUGAAUUUAAGAACCACUCAUUACAUUAAAGCACAAUGUCAAGAUUUUGAGUGCUUUUUUUUUAUUAAUAAGAUAAAUUCAACUUCGUUAAUUUUUACAAAAAUAUUAAAGUAUGGGCUUGAAAGAAGCAAAGAAUCUGUUAUACUUGUACAGCUACCAUUAAAUUCUGUACUCAUAAUACAACAGAUGUGUUCUGGUGCUCUGGCUUUACACUUGAUGCAUUUAAACUUUGAUGUGAGUGAAUGGACGGUCUGUUCGUUCCUGAAAGAGCUUGCCCUUCUGCAGCCAUGACAUUAAUACAUUUCAAUAUGGAUUAGUACAUACUGCAUUAUCCUCUAGUAGGAUAUUAUGAUUUCAUAUCCUUUGAUGGUUCCAAGAACAGUUUAGUAUAGCACUUUUUCCCCGGUCAGAAAGCUAACAGAAUAGUGUGUCAUAAGAGAAAAAAACCCUUCUGUACAAUAAAGAGAAGGAGCCUUAUAAGCAAGCAUCUUUAGCUUUUGCAGAAUUUCAGAAAUAAAUGCACUUGCCCUUAGGAAUUCACGGAACUCAAAUGUUAUAAUGAUGGUAGAGACUACUUGCUUUAAAAAGCAUAGGAAUUUUAAGGGAAGCUAUUUUUCAAGGUCAUUGUAAAUACAGGCAAAAUAAGACAAUAAUCCUGUUCUAGUGGUUGAAUACUCUUUCAUAUUGGUGGGUUUUUUUCAUUUUUCUUUUCUUUUAGCAUAAUCUUCACAAAGCAAAACAUUGUUAAACUUUGUCAGCAUUAUAAAAAAUUGGCUCUUGGUAGCAUAGAAUACAUCAUUAAGCAAGUUAACGUUAAAUUUACUCAUAACAUUCUUGUAUUUCACAGUAUCACAGGAUUGUAGGUGUUGGAAGGGACCUGUACGGAUCGAGUCCAACCCCCUGCAAAGCACAGGAGCCUUUCACUUAUUCUCAACUUUCUGAAUAAUUUCCCUGGAAAUAGACUUAAGUUCUAAUACGUGUAUUAAAUAUAGGUAGAGAUAUAUCAUUAUUGUUAUAUUGUACUACGUAUUAUUAUUUUACAGAUAGAAAUAUAGUCUCUUGUGCUCUGUGAGGACAGUGAAUCACUGGCAGUCAGACCUUAUUUUGACUUUGCACUUGGGCAGAACUGCAAGUCUGCUUAGGUAGAAAGAAAAGAUUUGAACAGCAAGGAAGCUGCAUGUCAGAUAAACAGCACUCUAGCAGAAAUCUGCAGAGAAAUAACAUACAGGUUGCCUACGCAUACUUGAAUUGUGUCUCCUUUCUUGAAUGCUAACCUCAAAAUACUAGCUAAGUUCUAAAAAAGUAUAAAUAAAAUAUACACCUUCUUAUAUCACUGGAUUUAUUCCAACUUUUCAACAUAGGAAUCUGAGGGAUGCUAUACACUUGAGCACACUAAGAUGGAGCCAUUCCUUAACAUUUGGAUUUCUGCAACUAAAUCUAAGUCUCAGUGUCUUUUUAUACACAUCAGUUACAUACUGUAUGAGAAUAAUCCACGUGCUUUUACUCCCUCCCAAAAAGUACAAAGAUGAUCUCUACAUUAAUCAUUUUACAAUUUCUGUCUCCUUCCUAACUAUUUGAAUCGGCUUGUUCUGCAAAUUGCAGUGAAGCUUUAGAAUACUCCUACUGCAGACAGAGUUCAAUUCCUCUAAAGCCUUGACAAAACAUAAUAAUUUUGGAGUGGAACCUGCUGCUGGAUGCACGGGAAAUAAAACACUGAAAACAAAAAAUGCUCUUGAGCACACAAUGAAAUAUGUUUUCAAUGCGUUAUAAUCAAGUUGCUUUAAGAACAACAGCAGUCUUAAUAAGAAAGGAAUAGAAGGAAAAGCAACAAAGUCAAUAAAAUUGUUGAAAGUAUUACACUAGGAUUAGACCUGCAAUCCAUACAUGCAACAAACCAAACAAGCAGAAACAUUGUUCAGCUGGAGGUUCUCCGUGCUUGAGGUUGAAUAUAAGUAGCCCUUCAAAACCACCAAAGGCCCAGGCAAGGAAAAUAAACGCCUUUGAAGUCUGUUAACUCCAUAGGGAGAUAUCGCAGUUGGCAAUUUCAAACCAUGAAAAUAAAUACUGUACGUACAUGUAAAGAAACCUAGUAUGUACUGUGUAUUCUGUAAUUUUUUUCCUCAUUUUACGAUGUAACUUCUUGCUAUAGCAUCUUGCUACCUGUGAUGCAUCAGACUCAAAUAAACAGUUGUAAGGAUCUGCCUUUAUGUGUUCAAGACAAAAUGAUGAAAGACACAGUAAAUUCAGACUCAGAAAGUCUAGUUCCCUUGGACGCAACAUGUGUUAUAAACCAGGGGAUCAGAAGUGCUGCCACAUGCA